AUGUGUCUACGAAAGAAUGGUCUCAUGAAUCUAACUUCAUUAGAUUACAUUAUUCCAAUCACAUAUUCCUUGGACUUUAUCGUUUAAGCAUAUAACAUUUAUAUGAGACGGCUCAAACAAUAAUCUUUGCCCUUUAUAUUAAACUAGAUUAGUUUAACAUGUAAAAUGUCCGUAAAGUAUCAUCAUAUGAUUGGCUUUAGGGCACAUUUCCAACAUCGAUGACUCCUUUUUGGGCUAGUUUCAUGAUGAGAUCUUUCAGCACGAUUCAUUUUUCGACCAAAUGAAUAAUGACGCGAUGAUAUUUGCAAUAUCUUGGGUUAUUUAGUUAAUUCAUUUCUUCCGACCACUUGCACUCGAGCAACUCGAUCACUUUCUUGGCAAGCAAAUCUUUCAACAUGGCAGUCAUAUCGGUGUCGGGGAAUAGAUAAGUCUUCUUCUCAAGCUCCUUCAAACUGUGCUUGUACCUCUCCUGAUCAUGAAAAAGUUCGUUCCGCUUCACCUCCUUCUUUUUAUCUCUUGUGGAGAUUCUGAUGGGAGUCAUGUUAACCACCAUUGCUUCCUUGGUAGGCUCCUUCACAGAUUUAUCCAUUUUAUGCCCAAAGAAUUUGUCUUUCUUAUAAUCGGUGAUCUAUUCUUUCUUUCUAUGAUGGGCGAUGCUCAACUCAAUGUCAUGGCUAACUCAUCGAAGGUUCGCGGUUUGAUGUCUUGAAGAAUGUAAUGUAAUCCCCAAUGAAUGCCUUGUACGCACAUUUCGAUUGAGGAGAUCUCCGAGAGUCUGUCUUUGCAAUCAAGACUUAGAGUGCGCCAUCGGUUGAUGUAGUCAACCACUGGCUCAUCCUUCCACUGCUUUGUAUUUGUAAGCUCUAUCAUGCUGAUGGUGCGACGGGUGUUGUAAAAGCGGUUCAAGAAUUCUCGCUCCAUAUGCUCCCAAUUGUUUAUGGACUCAGGCUCUAGGUCCAUGUACCAAUCGAAC
This 973-nucleotide long non-coding RNA is filed under the name Malus domestica (apple). RNAcentral's name for it is "long non-coding RNA (MDOM_LNC021105)". The record is from RNAcentral. Lineage: Eukaryota; Viridiplantae; Streptophyta; Magnoliopsida; Rosales; Rosaceae.